AGAAGAAUCAGGACACAAACAUGCGCAGGGGAACAACCGUGUGAAGACGCAGGGAGAGGACGGCCGCCUGCAAACCAAGGAGAGAGGCCUCAGAGGAAACCAACCCUGCUGACACCUCGGACGUCGGGCCCUCAGAAGUGUGGAGGCCCCAUGUGACGUGGCUCCUCCUGCUGCUCCUGGACUUUCUCCUUGGCAGCGCUCACCAGGCUCAGGGCUCUCUGUUAACCAGCUGUCCCCUUCUCUGGACUGGAAGCCCCACAGGGAGGGGAAUUCUGGUUCAUCGUGUUCACUUUAUCAUCAGGCCCUAGCACAGAUCCUGAC
Molecule: long non-coding RNA, 321 nt
Organism: Bos taurus (domestic cattle)
Lineage: Eukaryota; Metazoa; Chordata; Mammalia; Artiodactyla; Bovidae
Source: Ensembl